Molecule: non-coding RNA, 718 nt
Organism: Macaca mulatta (Rhesus monkey)
Lineage: Eukaryota; Metazoa; Chordata; Mammalia; Primates; Cercopithecidae
Source: RefSeq, a predicted model, not a curated record
CCCCACCUCCAAUGAUGGGGAUUACAUUUCAGCAUGAGAUUUGGGGAGGAGAAUCAUCCGAACUAUAUCAGAAGUGAAGUAUUGAGAGUGGUACGAGUACAGAAAGAAGAAACAGAUCCCUGAGUUGGAGCUGAAGAAGACAGCAACCCAGACAAUGUCAACAAGCACAAGCAAAAACAGCAACAACAACACCACCAACAAAAGUCUGCCAUCUUUAGCCAAAGCACCAGAAAAGGCCAAGGAAGAAACACAAUUUUGGACAACACCUACCUACUCCAGCUGAACAUCACAGAAAAAACUGUGGCUUCACCUCCACUCAUGCCAGCAAAGCCCAAAUUGGGAGCCUAGAUUUCCACCCUCACCAGGCUGUAAUAAGGGAUUCCAAUUCCUCGACUGGGGUGGUGUCAGAGAAGGUCAAGUAGGCACAAGGGACUUUUAUCCCUGCCGGAUAGUAAAGAGCUCCCCUACCCUGCAGUGUGAGGGGAGACCAGGUGAAGUGACCGAAUGUGUUGGUGGAACAGAUGUGGGGAAGAAUCAAAGGUGACUCCUAGGUUUUGGCUUCAUCAGCUGUGUGAAUGGAGGGGCUAUUCACUGAACAGAUUGGACUGGGGAAGAAAUAGUUUGGAAGAGGAGGAAAAAUACAUUGGUAGUCUGUGGAGGAGACAGAAAGUCAACAUCAUCAAGUUGAACUUGAAAUUAAAAUGGACUUGAACACUUA